RNAcentral lists this ribosomal RNA (545 nucleotides) under Sepioteuthis lessoniana. RNAcentral describes it as "eukaryotic LSU rRNA". It matches the Rfam family "Eukaryotic large subunit ribosomal RNA", at positions 666 to 946 of the family's 3401-position model. Lineage: Eukaryota; Metazoa; Mollusca; Cephalopoda; Myopsida; Loliginidae. The record is from RNAcentral.
CCGAGGAGUCCUGGCCGUUCGCGAGUCGUAGGGGCCCCCUUUUUGACUAACCCCGGAGGCGUAGCGAAAGCGAGAGAGCGUGUUGGAGGGCUCCGGGCCGGGAGAGGUGUCGCGGCGAAGUUGCGGGUGGGGGUCCGCCUUCAUUCCGCUUCCGAGCUGCGCCCGAUUCCGCCGGGGCGGCGUCCCCGCCAUUCCAAUCCCCGUCGUUAACGUCGUCGUUUUUCGGCGGCGACCGGAAUCUUUCUCUUUCGGGGGAGAGACGAAGGCUUCGGCGGCGGCGGAGGGGGCGUCAUUUUCUUCCUUCCGCCCGUCGGUGAGAUCUCGCGUGCAUCGAUGCAUGCGAGCGCAUCACCCCCGGGUAGGUUUUUUCCGAGUACGACUCGGCCGACUCUGGUGUAGCGAGCGGCCAGGGACCCGAAAGAUGGCGAUCCACGCCCGGUCGGGAUGAAGCCAGAGGAAACUCUGGUGGAAGUCCGAAGCGCCUCUGACGUGCAAAUCGAUCGUCGGAACCGGGUGUAGGGGCGAAAGACCAAUCGAGCCGUCUA